RNAcentral lists this ribosomal RNA (492 nucleotides) under uncultured bacterium. Its description in RNAcentral is "partial 16S ribosomal RNA". It matches the Rfam family "Bacterial small subunit ribosomal RNA", at positions 29 to 507 of the family's 1533-position model. The record is from RNAcentral.
AGUGAACGCUGGCGGUAGGCCUAACACAUGCAAGUCGAACGGCAGCACAGUAAGAGCUUGCUCUUACGGGUGGCGAGUGGCGGACGGGUGAGGAAUACAUCGGAAUCUACUUUUUCGUGGGGGAUAACGUAGGGAAACUUACGCUAAUACCGCAUACGACCUACGGGUGAAAGCAGGGGAUCUUCGGACCUUGCGCGAUUGAAUGAGCCGAUGUCGGAUUAGCUAGUUGGCGGGGUAAAGGCCCACCAAGGCGACGAUCCGUAGCUGGUCUGAGAGGAUGAUCAGCCGCACUGGAACUGAGACACGGUCCAGACUCCUACGGGAGGCAGCAGAGGGGAAUAUUGGACAAUGGGCGCAAGCCUGAUCCAGCCGUACCGCGUGGGUGAAGAAGGCCUUCGGGUUGUAAAGCCCUUUUGUUGGGAAAGAAAAGCAGCAGGUUAAUACCCCGCUGUUCUGACGGUACCCAAAGAAUAAGCACCGGCUAACUUCGUG